GUACGGAUGGCAGAGUGAUUAAUGCACAGGUCUGCAAAACCUGGUCUCGUGGGUUUGAAUCCCACUCCAUACUCA
RNAcentral lists this transfer RNA (75 nucleotides) under Caudoviricetes sp. Its description in RNAcentral is "tRNA-Cys". It matches the Rfam family "tRNA". Rfam says of the family: Transfer RNA (tRNA) molecules are approximately 80 nucleotides in length. Their secondary structure includes four short double-helical elements and three loops (D, anti-codon, and T loops). Further hydrogen bonds mediate the characteristic L-shaped molecular structure. tRNAs have two regions of fundamental functional importance: the anti-codon, which is responsible for specific mRNA codon recognition, and the 3' end, to which the tRNAs corresponding amino acid is attached (by aminoacyl-tRNA synthetases). tRNAs cope with the degeneracy of the genetic code in two manners: having more than one tRNA (with a specific anti-codon) for a particular amino acid; and 'wobble' base-pairing, i.e. permitting non-standard base-pairing at the 3rd anti-codon position. The record is from RNAcentral. Lineage: Duplodnaviria; Heunggongvirae; Uroviricota; Caudoviricetes.